RNAcentral lists this ribosomal RNA (265 nucleotides) under uncultured bacterium. RNAcentral's name for it is "partial 16S ribosomal RNA". It matches the Rfam family "Bacterial small subunit ribosomal RNA", at positions 88 to 354 of the family's 1533-position model. The record is from RNAcentral.
UAUCUUAGUGGCGGACGGGUGAGUAACGCGUGGGUAACCUGCCUUACACUGGGGGAUAACACUUAGAAAUAGGUGCUAAUACCGCAUAACAGGGAAAGAUGCAUGUCUUUUCCUUGAAAACUCCGGUGGUGUAAGAUGGACCCGCGUCUGAUUAGCUGGUUGGCGGGGUAACGGCCCACCAAGGCGACGAUCAGUAGCCGGCCUGAGAGGGUGAACGGCCACAUUGGGACUGAGACACGGCCCAAACUCCUACGGAAGGCAGCAG